Molecule: ribosomal RNA, 421 nt
Filed under: uncultured bacterium
Lineage: Bacteria
Description: partial 16S ribosomal RNA
Rfam family: Bacterial small subunit ribosomal RNA
Source: RNAcentral
AUAUCGGACAAUGGGGGCAACCCUGAUCCAGCCAUGCCGCGUGUGCGAAGAAGGUCUCCGGACUGUAAAGCACUUUAAGUUGGGAGGAAGGGGUUGAAGCUAAUACCUUCAGUCUUUGACGUUACCAACAGAAUAACCCCCGGCUAACUCUGUGCCAGCAGCCGCGGUAAUACAGAGGGGGCAAGCGUUAAUCGGAAUUACUGGGCGUAAAGCGCGCGUAGGUGGUUCAGUAAGAUGGAAGUGAAAUCCCCGGGCUUAACCUGGGAACUGCUUUCAUAACUGCUGAGCUAGAGUACGGUAGAGGGUAGUGGAAUUUCCUGUGUAGCGGUGAAAUGCGUAGAUAUAGGAAGGAACACCAGUGGCGAAGGCGACUACCUGGACUGAUACUGACACUGAGGUGCGAAAGCGUGGGGAGCAAACA